UACGUAGGGGGCAAGCGUUGUCCGGAAUCAUUGGGCGUAAAGAGCGUGUAGGCGGCCCGAUAAGUCCGCUGUGAAAGUCCAGGGCUCAACCCUGGAAUGCCGGUGGAUACUGUCGGGCUCGAAUCCGGAAGAGGUGAGUGGAAUUCCUGGUGUAGCGGUGAAAUGCGCAGAUAUCAGGAGGAACACCAAUGGCGAAGGCAGUUCACUGGGACGGUAUUGACGCUGAGACGCGAAAGCGUGGGGAGCAAACAGG
Molecule: ribosomal RNA, 253 nt
Filed under: uncultured bacterium
Lineage: Bacteria
Description: partial 16S ribosomal RNA
Rfam family: Bacterial small subunit ribosomal RNA
Source: RNAcentral